CUUUUCUGGCAGAUUACUUCUGUGAGCAACUGGGUCUCUCAGUUCUUUGGGAGCACCCUGGGAAACAGUGUGGCUAUGACUUGGAGCUGCUCACCAGUUCCAGUCAUUCUGUGGUUGAGAGCUGCUCCCUAUGGAUGUUAAUUCUUCUCUAUUUUAGAUUUUCCACAGGUGUGGGCCCCAUUAGCUCUGGCCACCUGAGAAAGCCCUCAGGCAAAGAGUCGCAGGUGAAAGCCAGCAGUUAGAGGUUCACAGAAAUGAGUGCAGAAGCAUCUUCAGUUGGAGAGCCAUUGCCUCUUGCUGUGAAAUAUUUGGGAAUCUUCAGAAACCAUGAAGAAUAACCUGCUAAAGGCCACCAAGUUCUAUUGAACAUCAUGAAUCCUAUGCUCAAGUGAGAUCAGCUCAAGUGAGACCAGAUAUCUGAAGACCUUUUCAUUUUCGCCACCCUCAAAUGAAGGCAUGCAAGGAUAAUUAUUAUGUGAACACAGAAGAAGGGUGCCUAACGUAAUCUGGAAAUACCACAGAAGACUUCCUGAAAGAAGUGUCUUGGCCUGAGUCUCGAAGAAUGAGCAGUUAUUAAUUAAAUGAGAUGAUGGAGACAUUGAAGGAGGCUCAGAAAAUACUUAGUCAACAAGCAUUUAUUAUCCCUCUACCCCAGAGGAUAUUUGGCAAUGUCUGGGGACAUUUUUGAUCUUCACAACUGGGGAAGGAAUGCUACUGGCAUCUAGUGGGUAGGGCCAGAGAUGCAGCUAAGCAUCCAACAAUGCACACAGCAUAGCCCCCACAGCAAAGAAAUAGCCCCAAAUGUCAAUAGUGCCAAAGUUGAGAAACUCUGCCCAGAACGCUCUUCCUCCAGUCACCCAUUUCCUUUAAGUCUCUACUCAAAUAUCAUCUUAAUGAGGCUUAGCCCGACUGCCUUCUGUGUAAAAUUGUUACCCGUCUCGGCACUUCCUCAGCUCCUUCUCUGAUUUUGUUUUAUUGUAGUACUUCUCACUGUUGGCUCUACUGAACCAUUUACUUAUUAUUUUAUUAUCAGCAUCUCUCCACUGAAAUAUAAAUUCUCUGAGGGUGGAAAAUUA
RNAcentral lists this long non-coding RNA (1076 nucleotides) under Homo sapiens (human). RNAcentral describes it as "long intergenic non-protein coding RNA 534". The record is from RNAcentral. Lineage: Eukaryota; Metazoa; Chordata; Mammalia; Primates; Hominidae.